This is a long non-coding RNA of Amphiprion ocellaris (clown anemonefish), 1153 nucleotides long. NCBI's taxonomy places the organism in Eukaryota, Metazoa, Chordata, Actinopteri, Pomacentridae. The record is from Ensembl.
GAAAUUUUGCAAAGAUUGGGUGGAGUCGUCAUAGCACGGCGGACCGAAGGUCCUUUACCGUCAUUUGUGUGCGACACAAAUGCAGCACAACAAUAGACAUGGAGGCGAUGGUUCACCUGCUGCUCGGUCUGUGGCUUUCUGUCAGAUUCAAAGUAAUAGAAGAGUCGGAGAAAGCUGAGAGCGACGAGUCGAAACACUGAGGAGACACACAGGAGAGUUUGGGAGGCGAUACAGCAGCAUCAAGCUGAAGACAAGAGGAUAUGAACUAUGAUAUGAGGACAUCCACCAACCACUGGAACACAUCUCCAAAGUUCUGCUGGUCCAGCUCAGCUUCCCCUCAGAAGAAGUGGUGCCACCUGCCAGAUGAAGGAAACUUUUGAGAGGCAGCUGGCAUCGUGAUUGGACUGUACUUUGGUCUGUUCCAAUCCAGCUUCAGCUCCAGAGACGGCAGGCGGGACGAGUCAACGGAGGCCUGGUGGACGAAGGCAUGCAGCUGAGUACAAUCCAGAAAACAACAGAGGAGGAGGAAACAAACAUAGUAGCAUAGUGUAAAAUAUACAUAGUAUAUUGUAUAAAUAACAAGUCAAAGUAAAGAGACAUACACUGUAGAAUUGUAGUAAUUGUGGACUGACUGAUUUUCUGAUUAUUGGUAUUUUUUACCGGUAAUAAAUACAUUUACUUUGGCUCUGAACCUUUAUCUACCUGUGGUCGCUCUGUCUUCUGGAGUGAUUUGAUUGGUUAUACGUCACAAACAGUCUCCUUUACCUUAACAUCUGUAAAACAUGAAUAAACAACACGGUAACAACAAAGUUUUCUGUUAAAGUUCUUGUAAGUUUAACACCAAGAUUUUAAAUACUUUCAUUUACUGCAAAUGAAUAUCUACUCCAAAUGUCUCACUAAUAAUCAUUGUCAGCCUUAAAAACCCACAAAACACCCCUCUAUACUCGACCACACUUAGUACAGUCCGGUUCCCCCUUCUAUAAAUCUGCUUGGAAUCUUCCACUUCCUGUUUGUCAAAGUGGCCUUCUACCUGGACAGGUUUUGUUGGAGCUCAUGCAACAAACAUUUUGGGUAACUGCACUUUAAUAUGGAUGGAUGACACUCAAUUAGAGUCUGUUUUACUGAGACUGAGUUAAGAUGUGCAGAUCUGUCA